Molecule: ribosomal RNA, 253 nt
Filed under: uncultured bacterium
Lineage: Bacteria
Description: partial 16S ribosomal RNA
Rfam family: Bacterial small subunit ribosomal RNA
Source: RNAcentral
UACGGAGGGGGCUAGCGUUGUUCGGAAUUACUGGGCGUAAAGGGUGCGCAGGCGGUUCUGCAAGUCAGGCGUGAAAGCCCCGGGCUUAACCUGGGAAUGGCGCUUGAAACUACAGGACUGGAGUAUGGCAGAGGGAGGUGGAAUUCCACGUGUAGCGGUGAAAUGCGUAGAGAUGUGGAGGAACACCGAUGGCGAAGGCAGCCUCCUGGGCCAAUACUGACGCUCAUGCACGAAAGCGUGGGGAGCAAACAGG